UGGGAGGACCAUCUCCUAAGGCUAAAUACUCUCUAGUGACCGAUAGUGAACCAGUACCGUGAGGGAAAGGUGAAAAGCACCCCGGAAGGGGAGUGAAAUAGAACCUGAAACCGUGUGCUUACAAGUAGUCAGAGCCCGUUAAUGGGUGAUGGCGUGCCUUUUGUAGAAUGAACCGGCGAGUUACGAUUUGAUGCAAGGUUAAGCAGUAAAUGUGGAGCCGUAGCGAAAGCGAGUCUGAAUAGGGCGUUUAGUAUUUGGUCGUAGACCCGAAACCAGGUGAUCUACCCUUGGUCAGGUUGAAGUUCAGGUAACACUGAAUGGAGGACCGAACCGACUUACGUUGAAAAGUGAGCGGAUGAACUGAGGGUAGCGGAGAAAUUCCAAUCGAACCUGGAGAUAGCUGGUUCUCUCCGAAAUAGCUUUAGGGCUAGCCUCAAGUGAUGAUUAUUGGAGGUAGAGCACUGUUUGGACGAGGGGCCCCUCUCGGGUUACCGAAUUCAGACAAACUCCGAAUGCCAAUUAAUUUAACUUGGGAGUCAGAACAUGGGUGAUAAGGUCCGUGUUCGAAAGGGAAACAGCCCAGACCACCAGCUAAGGUCCCAAAAUAUAUGUUAAGUGGAAAAGGAUGUGGCGUUGCCCAGACAACUAGGAUGUUGGCUUAGAAGCAGCCAUCAUUUAAAGAGUGCGUAAUAGCUCACUAGUCGAGUGACACUGCGCCGAAAAUGUACCGGGGCUAAACAUAUUACCGAAGCUGUGGAUUGUCCUUUGGACAAUGGUAGGAGAGCGUUCUAAGGGCGUUGAAGCAUGAUCGUAAGGACAUGUGGAGCGCUUAGAAGUGAGAAUGCCGGUGUGAGUAGCGAAAGACGGGUGAGAAUCCCGUCCACCGAUUGACUAAGGUUUCCAGAGGAAGGCUCGUCCGCUCUGGGUUAGUCGGGUCCUAAGCUGAGGCCGACAGGCGUAGGCGAUGGAUAACAGGUUGAUAUUCCUGUACCACCUAUA
RNAcentral lists this ribosomal RNA (999 nucleotides) under Staphylococcus aureus. RNAcentral's name for it is "partial 23S ribosomal RNA". It matches the Rfam family "Bacterial large subunit ribosomal RNA", at positions 445 to 1452 of the family's 2925-position model. The record is from RNAcentral. Lineage: Bacteria; Bacillati; Bacillota; Bacilli; Caryophanales; Staphylococcaceae.